Non-coding RNA from Podarcis lilfordi (Lilford's wall lizard), 66 nucleotides. The record is from the annotation of a GenBank genome assembly. Lineage: Eukaryota; Metazoa; Chordata; Lepidosauria; Squamata; Lacertidae.
GCUCGAGUUCCCGCUGCGCUCCGAAGGCUUCAGGGAUAGCCUUUGGAGCGCAGCGGGAAUUCGCAC